RNAcentral lists this ribosomal RNA (447 nucleotides) under Salmonella enterica subsp. enterica serovar Infantis. RNAcentral's name for it is "bacterial SSU rRNA". It matches the Rfam family "Bacterial small subunit ribosomal RNA", at positions 1 to 444 of the family's 1533-position model. Lineage: Bacteria; Pseudomonadati; Pseudomonadota; Gammaproteobacteria; Enterobacterales; Enterobacteriaceae. RNAcentral also lists the same sequence under 4 other names. The record is from RNAcentral.
AAAUUGAAGAGUUUGAUCAUGGCUCAGAUUGAACGCUGGCGGCAGGCCUAACACAUGCAAGUCGAACGGUAACAGGAAGCAGCUUGCUGCUUCGCUGACGAGUGGCGGACGGGUGAGUAAUGUCUGGGAAACUGCCUGAUGGAGGGGGAUAACUACUGGAAACGGUGGCUAAUACCGCAUAACGUCGCAAGACCAAAGAGGGGGACCUUCGGGCCUCUUGCCAUCAGAUGUGCCCAGAUGGGAUUAGCUUGUUGGUGAGGUAACGGCUCACCAAGGCGACGAUCCCUAGCUGGUCUGAGAGGAUGACCAGCCACACUGGAACUGAGACACGGUCCAGACUCCUACGGGAGGCAGCAGUGGGGAAUAUUGCACAAUGGGCGCAAGCCUGAUGCAGCCAUGCCGCGUGUAUGAAGAAGGCCUUCGGGUUGUAAAGUACUUUCAGCGGGG